UAUUUAUAUAAUUGAUAUAAAUCAAAACAUCGUGUUAUUUCUGAUUAAUUUUUCGAAUUACUUUAUUAAGGUGUUGAGAACCUUUGGUGACCCCAUAGUUUGAGUGUCUUUAAAAAGUACAUAGUGAGCAGUGGUCGUUACAUACAAACGUUCACCUAAAUUUUCCCAGUCAAUGGAUGAAUUUAAUGUGUCAAUCAAUGGCCACAGCCACACUGUUUUGAAUUUC
RNAcentral lists this long non-coding RNA (226 nucleotides) under Mytilus galloprovincialis (Mediterranean mussel). Lineage: Eukaryota; Metazoa; Mollusca; Bivalvia; Mytilida; Mytilidae. The record is from RNAcentral.